RNAcentral lists this ribosomal RNA (1306 nucleotides) under metagenome. Its description in RNAcentral is "bacterial SSU rRNA". It matches the Rfam family "Bacterial small subunit ribosomal RNA", at positions 179 to 1498 of the family's 1533-position model. The record is from RNAcentral.
ACAGUACAGCAUUGUACAAUGUUCAAAUAUUUAUAGGAUUAAGAUGGGCAUGCGUGUCAUUAGCUAGUUGGCGGGGUAACGGCCCACCAAGGCGACGAUGACUAGGGGAUCUGAGAGGAUGACCCCCCACACUGGUACUGAGACACGGACCAGACUCCUACGGGAGGCAGCAGUAAGGAAUAUUGGUCAAUGGAGGCAACUCUGAACCAGCCAUGCCGCGUGCAGGAAGACAGCCCUCUGGGUCGUAAACUGCUUUUAUUCGGGAAUAAACCACAUUACGUGUAAUGUGCUGAAUGUACCGAAGGAAUAAGGAUCGGCUAACUCCGUGCCAGCAGCCGCGGUAAUACGGAGGAUCCAAGCGUUAUCCGGAUUUAUUGGGUUUAAAGGGUGCGUAGGCGGCUUAUUAAGUCAGGGGUGAAAGACGGUGGCUCAACCAUCGCAGUGCCUUUGAUACUGAUGAGCUUGAAUACACUAGAGGUAGGCGGAAUGUGACAAGUAGCGGUGAAAUGCAUAGAUAUGUCACAGAACACCGAUUGCGAAGGCAGCUUACUAUGGUGUGAUUGACGCUGAGGCACGAAAGCGUGGGGAUCAAACAGGAUUAGAUACCCUGGUAGUCCACGCCCUAAACGAUGAAUACUCGCUGUUAGCGAUAUACAGUUAGCGGCUAAGCGAAAGCGUUAAGUAUUCCACCUGGGGAGUACGCCCGCAAGGGUGAAACUCAAAGGAAUUGACGGGGGCCCGCACAAGCGGAGGAGCAUGUGGUUUAAUUCGAUGAUACGCGAGGAACCUUACCCGGGCUUGAAAGUUAGUGAAUCAUUUAGAGAUAGAUGAGUCCGCAAGGACACGAAACUAGGUGCUGCAUGGCUGUCGUCAGCUCGUGCCGUGAGGUGUUGGGUUAAGUCCCGCAACGAGCGCAACCCCUAUGUUUAGUUGCCAGCACGUUAUGGUGGGGACUCUAAACAGACUGCCUGUGCAAACAGAGAGGAAGGAGGGGACGACGUCAAGUCAUCAUGGCCCUUACGUCCGGGGCUACACACGUGCUACAAUGGAUGGUACAGAGGGCAGCAAGCUGGCAACAGCAAGCGAAUCUCAAAAAGCCAUUCACAGUUCGGAUAGAGGUCUGCAACUCGACCUCUUGAAGUUGGAUUCGCUAGUAAUCGCGUAUCCGCAAUGACGCGGUGAAUACGUUCCCGGGCCUUGUACACACCGCCCGUCAAGCCAUGGAAGUUGGGGGUACCUAAAGUAUGUAACCGCAAGGAGCGUCCUAGGGUAAAACCGAUAACUGGGGCUAAGUCGUAACAAGGUA